RNAcentral lists this transfer RNA (72 nucleotides) under Camelus ferus (Wild Bactrian camel). It matches the Rfam family "tRNA". From Rfam's summary of the family: Transfer RNA (tRNA) molecules are approximately 80 nucleotides in length. Their secondary structure includes four short double-helical elements and three loops (D, anti-codon, and T loops). Further hydrogen bonds mediate the characteristic L-shaped molecular structure. tRNAs have two regions of fundamental functional importance: the anti-codon, which is responsible for specific mRNA codon recognition, and the 3' end, to which the tRNAs corresponding amino acid is attached (by aminoacyl-tRNA synthetases). tRNAs cope with the degeneracy of the genetic code in two manners: having more than one tRNA (with a specific anti-codon) for a particular amino acid; and 'wobble' base-pairing, i.e. permitting non-standard base-pairing at the 3rd anti-codon position. Lineage: Eukaryota; Metazoa; Chordata; Mammalia; Artiodactyla; Camelidae. The record is from Rfam by way of RNAcentral.
GGGCAUAUAGCUCAGUGGAAGAGCGUGUAGUUAGCACACGCGACAUCCUGGGUUCAAUCCCCGGUACCUCCA